Molecule: ribosomal RNA, 435 nt
Filed under: uncultured bacterium
Lineage: Bacteria
Description: partial 16S ribosomal RNA
Rfam family: Bacterial small subunit ribosomal RNA
Source: RNAcentral
GAUGAACGCUGGCGGUAUGCUUAACACACGCAAGUCGAACGGACUCUUCGGAGUUAGUGGCGGACGGGUGAGUAACGCGUGAGAAUCUGGCUUUGGGUUCGGGACAACCACUGGAAACGGUGGCUAAUACCGGAUGUGCCGAGAGGUAAAAGAGAAAUUGCCUGAAGAUGAGCUCGCGUCUGAUUAGCUAGUUGGUGAGGUAAAGGCUCACCAAGGCAGCGAUCAGUAGCUGGUCUGAGAGGAUGACCAGCCACACUGGGACUGAGACACGGCCCAGACUCCUACGGGAGGCAGCAGUGGGGAAUUUUCCGCAAUGGGCGAAAGCCUGACGGAGCAAUACCGCGUGAGGGAAGAAGGCUCUUGGGUUGUAAACCUCUUUUCUUAGGGAAGAACAAAAUGACGGUACCUAGGGAAUCAGCAUCGGCUAACUCCGUG